UGGGGAAUAUUGGACAAUGGGGGGAACCCUGAUCCAGCCAUGCCGCGUGUGUGAAGAAGGCCUUAUGGUUGUAAAGCACUUUAAGCGAGGAGGAGGGUACCUUGGUUAAUACCCAAGAGUAUCGGACGUUACUCGCAGAAUAAGCACCGGCUAACUCUGUGCCAGCAGCCGCGGUAAUACAGAGGGUGCAAGCGUUAAUCGGAUUUACUGGGCGUAAAGCGUGCGUAGGCGGCUAAUUAAGUCGGAUGUGAAAUCCCCGAGCUCAACUUGGGAAUUGCAUUCGAUACUGGUUAGCUAGAGUAUGGGAGAGGAUGGUAGAAUUCCAGGUGUAGCGGUGAAAUGCGUAGAGAUCUGGAGGAAUACCGAUGGCGAAGGCAGCCAUCUGGCCUAAUACUGACGCUGAGGUACGAAAGCAUGGGGAGCAAACAGG
This 430-nucleotide ribosomal RNA is filed under the name uncultured bacterium. RNAcentral describes it as "bacterial SSU rRNA". It matches the Rfam family "Bacterial small subunit ribosomal RNA", at positions 355 to 776 of the family's 1533-position model. The record is from RNAcentral.